RNAcentral lists this long non-coding RNA (3371 nucleotides) under Citrus x clementina. RNAcentral describes it as "Citrus clementina (C. clementina) long non-coding RNA (CCLE_LNC005945)". Lineage: Eukaryota; Viridiplantae; Streptophyta; Magnoliopsida; Sapindales; Rutaceae. The record is from RNAcentral.
CGCGAGACUUUGGGAGGUGCCUCCGUGUGCCAAAAAUAUGUUGCGGGCACAGCCGCGCCUAAAAAUAACCACCUGAAGGCCGGGACGCCACGUUCGUCCAGCGGAAAAAGGCCACAAAAACGGGUGGGCUAUAGCCUUGGGGGGUGGGGCUGGCCAACUUCGUCCGCCGGACUCGGAAUGGCGCGAGACUUUGCGAGGCGCCUCUGUGUGUCAAAAAUAGGCUGCGGACACAGCCGCUCCCAAAAAUAACCACCCGAAGGCCGGGGCGCCAUGUUCGUCCAGCGGGAAAAUGCCCCAAAAACGGGUGGGCUAUAACCUUGGGGGGUGGGGCUGGCCAACCUCAUCCGCCGGACUCGGAAUGGCGCGAGACUUUGCGAGGUGCCUCCGAUUGCAAAAAAUAGGCCGCGGACACAGCAGCGCCCAAAAAUAACCGCCCGAAGGCCGGGGCGCCAAGUUCGUCCAGCCGAAAAAGCCCACAAAAACGGUUGGCUAUAGCCUUGGGGGGUGGGGCUGACCAACUUCGUCCGCCGGACUCGGAUUGGCGCGAUACUUUGCGAGGCACCUCCGUGUGCCAAAAAUAGGCCACAUGCACAGCCACGCCCAAAAAUAACCGCCCGAAGGCUGGAGCGCCAAGUUCGUCCAGCGGAAAAAGGCCACAAAAACGGGUGGGCUAUAGCAUUGGGGUGUGGGGCUGGCCACUUCGUCCGCUGGACUCGGAAUGGCGCGAGACUUUGCGAGGGGCCUCCGUGUGCAGGAACUAGGCUGCGGGUGGGCUAUAGCAUUGGGGUGUGGGGCUGGCCAACUUCGUCCGCCGGACUCGGAAUGCCGCGAGACUUUGCGAGGUGCCUCCGUGUGCCAAAAAUAGGCUACGGGCACAGCCGCACCCAAAAAUAACCGCCCGAUGGCCGGGACACCAAGUUCGUGCAGCGGAAAAAGGCCACAAAAACGGUUGGGCUAUAGCAUUGGGGGGUGGGGCUGGCGAACUUCGUCCGCCGGACUCGGAAUGGCGCGAGACUUUGCGAGGAGCCUCCGUGUGCCAAAAAUAGGCUGCGGGCACAGCCGCACCCAAAAAUCACCGGCCGAAGGCCGGGGUGCCAAGUUCGUCCAGCGGAAAAAGGCCACAAAAACGGGUGGGCUAUAGCAUUGGGGGGUGGGGCGGGCGAACUUCGUCCGCCGGACUCGGAAUGGCGCGAGACUUUGUGAGGUGCCUCCGUGUACCAAAAAUAGGCCGCGGGCACAGCCGUGGCCAAAAAUAACUGCCCGAAGGCCGGGGCGCCAAGUUCGUCCAGCGGAAAAAGGCCACAAAAACGGGUGGGCUAUAGCCUUGGGGGGUGGGACUGGCCAACUUCGUCCGCCGGACUCGGAAUGCCGCGAGACUUUGCGAGGUGCCUCCGUGUGGCAAAAAUAGGCUGCGGGCACAGCCGCACCCAAAAAUAACCGCCCGAAGGGCGGGGCACCAAUUUCGUGCACCGGAAAAAAGCCACAAAAACCGUUGGGCUAUACCAUUGGGGGGUGGGGCUGGCCGACUUCGUCCACCGGACUCGGAAUGGCGCGAGACAUUGCGAGGUGCCUCCGUGUGCCAAAAAUAGGCUGCGGACACAGCCGCGCCCAAAAAUAACCGCCCGAAGGCCGGGGCGCCAAGUUCGUCCAGCGGAAAAAGGCCACAAAAACGGGUGGGCUAUAGCCUUGGGGGGUGGGGCUGGCCAACUUCGUCCGCCGGACUCGGAAUGGCGCGAGACUUUGCGAGGCGCCUCUGUGUGCCAAAAAUAGAGCGCGGACACAGCCGCGCCCAAAAAUAACCGCCCGAAGGCCGGGGCGCCAUGUUCGUCCAGCGGGAAUAUGCCCCAAAAACGGGUGGGCUAUAACCUUGGGGGGUGGGGCUGGCCAACUUCAUCCGCCGGACUCGGAAUGGCGCGAGACUUUGCGAGGUGUCUCCGAUUGCAAAAAAUAGGCCGCGGGCACAGCAGCGCCCAAAAAUAACCGCCCGAAGGCCGGGGCGCCAAGUUCGUCCAGCGGAAAAAGCCCACAAAAAUGGUUGGCUAUAGCCUUGGGGGGUGGGGCUGACCAACUUCGUCCGCCGGACUCGGAUUGGCGCGAUACUUUGCGAGGCACCUCCGUGUGCCAAAAAUAGGCCACAUGCACAGCCACGCCCAAAAAUAACCGCCCGAAGGCUGGAGCGCCAAGUUCGUCGAGCGGAAAAAGUCCACAAAAACGGGUGGGCUAUAGCAUUGGGGUGUGGGGCUGGCCAACUUCGUCUGCUGGACUCGGAAUGGCGCGAGACUUUGCGAGGGGCCUCCGUGUGCAGGAAAUAGGCUGCGGGUGGGCUAUAGCAUUGCGGUGUGGGGCUGGCCAACUUCGUCCGCCGGACUCGGAAUGCCGCGAGACUUUGCGAGGUGCCUCCGUGUGCCAAAAAUAGGCUGCGGGCACAGCCGCGCCCAAAAAUAACCGCCCGAAGGCAGGGGCACCAAGUUCGUGCAGCGGAAAAAGGCCACAAAAACGGGUGGGCGAUAGCAUGGGGGGGUGGGGCUGGCGAACUUCGUCCGCCGGACUCGGAAUGGCGCGAGACUUUGCGAGGUGCCUCCGUGUGCCAAAAAUAGGCUGCGGGCACAGCCGCACCCAAAAAUCACCGCCCGAAGGCCGGGGCACCAAGUUCGUCCAGCGGAAAAAGGCCACAAAAACGGGUGGGCUAUAGCAUUGGGGGGUGGGGCUGGCGAACUUCGUCCGCCAGACUCGGAAUGGCGCGAGACUUUGCGAGGUGCCUCCGUGUGCCAAAAAUAGGCCGCGGACAAAGCCGCGACCAAAAAUAACCGCCCGAAGGCCGGGGCGCCAAGUUCGUGCAGCGGAAAAAGGCCACAAAAACGGGUGGGCUAUAGCCUUGGGGGGUGGGGCUGGCCAACUUCGUCCGCCGGACUCGGAAUGGCGUAAGACUUUGCGAGGUGCCUCCGUGUGCCAAAAAUAGCCCGCGGGCACAGCCGCGGCGAAAAAUAACCGCCCGAAGGCCGGGGCGCCAAGUUCGUCCAGCGGAAAAAGGCCAUAAAAACGGGUGGGCUAUAGCCUUGGGGGGUGGGGCUGGCCCACUUCGUCCGCCGGACUCGGAAUGGUGCGAGACUUUGUGAGGUGCCUCCAUGUGCCAAAAAUAGGCUUCGGGCACAGCCGCGCCCAAAAAUCCCGGCCCGAAGGCUGGGGCGCCAAGUUUGUCCAGCGGAAAAAGGGUACAAAAACGGGUGGGCUACAGCCUUGGGGAGUGGGGCUGGCCAACUUCAUCCUCUGGUCUUGGAAUGGCGCGAGACUUCGCGAGGCACCUCCGUGUGCCGAAAAUAGGCCGCGGACACAGCCGCGCCCAAAAAUAAAUGCCCGAAGCCCGGGGCGCC